This is an unclassified non-coding RNA of Pongo abelii (Sumatran orangutan), 148 nucleotides long. It matches the Rfam family "Metazoan signal recognition particle RNA". From Rfam's summary of the family: The signal recognition particle (SRP) is a universally conserved ribonucleoprotein. It is involved in the co-translational targeting of proteins to membranes. The record is from Ensembl. Lineage: Eukaryota; Metazoa; Chordata; Mammalia; Primates; Hominidae.
GCUGGGUGUGGUGGCGCACCCCUGUAAUCCCAGCUACUCGGGAGGCUGAGACAGGAGAAUCACUUGAACCCAGGAGGUACAGGUUGCAGUGAGCCAAGAUCACACCAUUGCAUUCCAGCCUGGGUAAAAGAGUGAAACUCAGUCUCAA